UGGGGAAUAUUGGACAAUGGGGGCAACCCUGAUCCAGCAAUGCCGCGUGUGUGAAGAAGGCCUUCGGGUUGUAAAGCACUUUCAGUGGGGAGGAAGGGGUGUUAGCUAAUACCUGACAUCAUUGACGUUACCUACAGAAGAAGCACCGGCUAACUCUGUGCCAGCAGCCGCGGUAAUACAGAGGGUGCGAGCGUUAAUCGGAAUUACUGGGCGUAAAGCGUGUGUAGGUUGUUGAAUAAGUUAGAUGUGAAAUCCCCGGGCUUAACCUGGGCACUGCGUUUAAGACUGUUUAACUAGAGUGCUGUAGAGGAUAGUGGAAUUUCCAGUGUAGCGGUGAAAUGCGUAGAUAUUGGAAGGAACACCAGUGGCGAAGGCGACUAUCUGGACAGACACUGACACUGAGACACGAAAGCGUGGGGAGCAAACA
Molecule: ribosomal RNA, 427 nt
Filed under: uncultured prokaryote
Description: bacterial SSU rRNA
Rfam family: Bacterial small subunit ribosomal RNA
Source: RNAcentral